GGGAUGUAAAAUGAAUCGACACAAGGCAGCAGCAAUGAAGACUUUUUAAAGCAAAAGGCCAAACAACUUUCACUGACCACAACUCCGAACCAAUACAAAAACAAAAUGAUUGCCAAAUUCCAAAUAUAAGUUUUCUUUUUGUCGUCUUUUUUUUUUGUUUUGUUUUAUGGGUUUUAUGAACUGAGAAACGAUAUUACUCACGGGUAAAAGACACAAAGAGAGUGGAACACAAAUUUUACAACGCAAAUCAAGAGAGAACAAAAUCACCAAAGUUUUUUUUUUUUUUAAAGAGGGGAUUUUGGGUAGUAAGAACUGAAUAAAAAGAAGCAACAAAGGAGCAGAGAAGUUAAAAGGGAAAGUUAUGAACACUAAAAACAGACAGGAAACAAAACCAAAAGCAGCAAACUUUUCUUCUUUUUUCGGAGGGAUAUGCUAAAACGUGUAAUAUAAACACUGCAGUGGGAAAAUGGACAAUGUUAAAUAAGCUCCAAGAAGUGAAAGAGCCAAAAAGAAAGACGCUUUUUCUUUUUCUUUUUCUUUUUCUUUUUUCUUUCAAAAACAACGGAAGAAGAACAGACGAAAAUGUAAGUAGGAGUAAACUAAAAAGUAAAAAACAAAGGGAUGUAAAAGACGACUCAAACAAAAUUACAAUAAACUCAAGAAAAAGUUGAAAGAGCAAAAAGGAAAGACGCUUUUUUUUUUCUUUUUCAAAAUCAACUGAAGAACAGACGAAAGAGUAGCUGGGAGUAAAAACAAGAUUACAAGAGUGAAAUAAAAAACAACUCCGAACCAAAACAAAAUACGAUUGACAGAUUUAAUGCUACGAUCGGUUUCAAAAUAUAAGAAUUUUUUUUCUUUUUUUGGUGGGUUUUAUGGAUUGAGAAACAAUAAACUCACAGGUAAACGAAUCAAAGAAAGUGAAAGACAAAUUCUGCAACACAAAUCAAGAGAAAUACGACACCAAAGAUUGCAUUAAAAACUUAAUUUUAAGGGGGGAUUUUGGGUUGUAAGAACUAAGAACUGAAAACAGGAAGCAAUGGUGGAAGUGUGGAACGUUUAAGUUGAAAAGGAAAGUUCUGGAUACUCAAAACAGAAACGGGAAGCACAACACUCGACGGCAAACUUUCUUCUUUUU
This 1135-nucleotide long non-coding RNA is filed under the name Arachis ipaensis. Its description in RNAcentral is "long non-coding RNA (AIPA_LNC002598)". The record is from RNAcentral. Lineage: Eukaryota; Viridiplantae; Streptophyta; Magnoliopsida; Fabales; Fabaceae.